UACAGAGGUCCCAAGCGUUGUUCGGAUUCACUGGGCGUAAAGGGUGCGUAGGCGGUGGGGUAAGUCUGAUGUGAAAGCUCGCAGCUCAACUGCGAAAUGGCAUUGGAAACUACCUCGCUAGAGGAGUGGAAGGGGGACUGGAAUACUUGGUGUAGCAGUGAAAUGCGUAGAUAUCAAGUGGAACACCAGUGGCGAAGGCGAGUCCCUGGACACCUCCUGACGCUGAGGCACGAAAGCUAGGGGAGCAAACAGG
Molecule: ribosomal RNA, 253 nt
Filed under: uncultured bacterium
Lineage: Bacteria
Description: partial 16S ribosomal RNA
Rfam family: Bacterial small subunit ribosomal RNA
Source: RNAcentral